GAGAAAGUAACUCAGUUGGUAGAGUAUUGGUCUGUCACGCCAAAAGUCGCGGGUUCAAUUCCCGUCUUUCU
This 71-nucleotide transfer RNA is filed under the name Diphylleia rotans. RNAcentral's name for it is "tRNA-Asp". It matches the Rfam family "tRNA". From Rfam's summary of the family: Transfer RNA (tRNA) molecules are approximately 80 nucleotides in length. Their secondary structure includes four short double-helical elements and three loops (D, anti-codon, and T loops). Further hydrogen bonds mediate the characteristic L-shaped molecular structure. tRNAs have two regions of fundamental functional importance: the anti-codon, which is responsible for specific mRNA codon recognition, and the 3' end, to which the tRNAs corresponding amino acid is attached (by aminoacyl-tRNA synthetases). tRNAs cope with the degeneracy of the genetic code in two manners: having more than one tRNA (with a specific anti-codon) for a particular amino acid; and 'wobble' base-pairing, i.e. permitting non-standard base-pairing at the 3rd anti-codon position. The record is from RNAcentral. Lineage: Eukaryota; Collodictyonidae.